AUUAUACUCCAUCCGUCCGAUAAUACUUGUCAUAGGAAUGGAUGUAUCUAGAUGUAUUUUAGUUAUAGACACAUUCAUUUUUAUGCACUUUUGCAACAAGUAAUCCCGGACGGAGGGAGUAGGUA
Non-coding RNA from Hordeum vulgare subsp. vulgare (domesticated barley), 125 nucleotides. NCBI's taxonomy places the organism in Eukaryota, Viridiplantae, Streptophyta, Magnoliopsida, Poales, Poaceae. The record is from Rfam.